UUUAAUUUCCCUUACAAAAUUUCUUUAUACGGAUGGUCUUCGACUUGCGACGGCCAAAAAUUAUUAAAAAUUCUGUAAUUCAACUUUGCCGCCUACUUAUAUUGCUUUUGCAUACGCAUCGCAACGUCGCCAUUCUGCUAUUACGUAUUAUUGAAAGACUUCAACAAUAUUCAACAGCCACUAGUGUGAUUUACACUUAUAAUUUAUCACAGACUUUAGCACGUCAGUUGCUAAUCAGCAGUCGAAGUGUUCGUAUCUCGCCAGUAAGAGAAAAUAAUAAUUUCUUAGUUUUAUAUUUAUGUAUUAAUUGUAUGUAUGUUAAUAAAUAAUUUAUAAAGUUUUGUGCG
Molecule: long non-coding RNA, 347 nt
Filed under: Androctonus crassicauda
Lineage: Eukaryota; Metazoa; Arthropoda; Arachnida; Scorpiones; Buthidae
Source: RNAcentral